Non-coding RNA from Podarcis lilfordi (Lilford's wall lizard), 68 nucleotides. The record is from the annotation of a GenBank genome assembly. NCBI's taxonomy places the organism in Eukaryota, Metazoa, Chordata, Lepidosauria, Squamata, Lacertidae.
GGAUAGUUCAAUCGGUAGAGCAUGAGACUCUUAAUCUCAGGUUGUGGGUUUGAGCCCCACGUUGAGCA